Molecule: ribosomal RNA, 474 nt
Filed under: uncultured bacterium
Lineage: Bacteria
Description: partial 16S ribosomal RNA
Rfam family: Bacterial small subunit ribosomal RNA
Source: RNAcentral
AGCGAACGCUGGCGGCAGGCCUAACACAUGCAAGUCGAACGAACCUUUCGGGGUUAGUGGCGGACGGGUGAGUAACACGUGGGAACGUGCCUUUAGGUUCGGAAUAACUCAGGGAAACUUGUGCUAAUACCGAAUGUGCCCUUCGGGGGAAAGAUUUAUCGCCUUUAGAGCGGCCCGCGUCUGAUUAGCUAGUUGGUUGAGGUAAUGGCUCACCAAGGCGACGAUCAGUAGCUGGUCUGAGAGGAUGAUCAGCCACAUUGGGACUGAGACACGGCCCAAACUGCAGGGGGGGGGAGCGUGGGGGAGGCGGGCGACAUGGGCGAAGGCAUGACGCCGCCAUGCAGGGUGAAUGAUGAAGUUCUGAGGAUUGAAAAAUUCUUGCGCCGGGGCAGAUACAGCCGGUACCCGGAGAAGACCCCCCGGCUAACUGCGUGCCAGCAGCCGCGGUAAUAGUUGGGCGACACCCGUUCGAUC